This 70-nucleotide transfer RNA is filed under the name Mycobacteroides chelonae. RNAcentral describes it as "(Mycobacterium chelonae corrig. Bergey et al. 1923 (Approved Lists 1980) emend. Kim et al. 2017) tRNA-OTHER". It matches the Rfam family "tRNA". From Rfam's summary of the family: Transfer RNA (tRNA) molecules are approximately 80 nucleotides in length. The record is from RNAcentral. Lineage: Bacteria; Bacillati; Actinomycetota; Actinomycetes; Mycobacteriales; Mycobacteriaceae.
ACGACCGUAACUCGGACAGAACAGAGGUGUCCUAAGCCUACGGAAGCAGGUUCGACUCCUGCCGGUCGUA